This is a non-coding RNA of Paramuricea clavata, 526 nucleotides long. The record is from the annotation of a GenBank genome assembly. Lineage: Eukaryota; Metazoa; Cnidaria; Anthozoa; Malacalcyonacea; Plexauridae.
GGGGUGUACCGAAAAAGGAUUACCAAAGAAACACUUUUCCACCAUAUUGUGUUGGAAUGGGUUAUAUCCUUAGUUCAGAUGUCCUUCAUAAUAUGAUGGUGAUUGUACCCAAGCAACCAUUGUUUAAACUGGAAGACGUCUAUAUUGGUCUGAUUCUAGAAAAAUUAAAGAUAGUGCCAGUAGAUAGACGUAAAUAUUUACAGGUACAUUCUGAUUACUCCUGGGAUGUUUGCCAACAUAAAGACAUGUUGUUAAGUCUAGAAGCAAAUCCAAAACAAAUGCUGCAAUUAUAUUUGAAGUUUUCAAAAUUAGGGAAAUGUGGUCCUGUAGAUUAUGUUAAAAAGGCGUAGUUUGUAUUGUUCCUGUACAGUGAAUUUGAAAUGUAAUUUUUAAUAUUAUUCGUAAGUAUUUGAAAGCGUCUUUUAUAUUAAUUGUUGGUAAAUAAUUUGACAAAGUAUCGUAGCUUAAAUUAUUAUUGGCAAAUAAAUUGUGGGCGCAUGUUGAAGAUUGCUCGUGGACAUCGGCC